CCUACGGGAGGCAGCAGUGGGGAAUAUUGGGCAAUGGGCGCAAGCCUGACCCAGCAACGCCGCGUGAAGGAAGAAGGCUUUCGGGUUGUAAACUUCUUUUGACAGGGAAGAGUAGAAGACGGUACCUGUCGAAUAAGCCACGGCUAACUACGUGCCAGCCGCCGCGGUAAUACGUAGGUGGCAAGCGUUGUCCGGAUUUACUGGGUGUAAAGGGCGUGUAGCCGGGUUGACAAGUCAGAUGUGAACUCCUGGGGCUUAACCUAAAAACUGCAUUUGAAACUGUUGAUCUGGAGUACUGGAGAGGCAGACGGAAUUCCUAGUGUAGCGGUGAAAUGCGUAGAUAGUAGGAGGAACACCAGUGGCGAAGGCGGUCUGCUGGACAGCAACUGACGGUGAGGCGCGAAAGCGUGGGGAGCAAACAGGAUUAGAUACCCUUGUAGUC
Molecule: ribosomal RNA, 442 nt
Filed under: uncultured bacterium
Lineage: Bacteria
Description: partial 16S ribosomal RNA
Rfam family: Bacterial small subunit ribosomal RNA
Source: RNAcentral